UACGAUUGAUAUUAUGGGCCUUAAUGUA
This 28-nucleotide small RNA is filed under the name Bombyx mori (domestic silkworm). RNAcentral's name for it is "piRNA piR-bmo-2243184". Lineage: Eukaryota; Metazoa; Arthropoda; Insecta; Lepidoptera; Bombycidae. The record is from RNAcentral.